AAUGAACGCUGGCGGCAUGGAUUAGGCAUGCAAGUCGAACGGACUGUGUUUCGCAAGAGAUACAGUCAGUGGCGAAAGGGUGAGUAACACGUGAGCAACCUGCCCCCGAGUCCGGAAUAGCUCGCGGAAACGCGGAUUAAUGCCGGAUGCGGUUCUCCGCUGCAUGGCGGAGACACUAAAGUUUUUCGCUCGGGGAUGGGCUCGCGGCCCAUUAGCUGGUUGGCGGGGUAAUGGCCCACCAAGGCUAUGACGGGUAGGUGGUCUGAGAGGAUGGUCACCCACACUGGGACUGAGACACUGCCCAGACUCCUACGGGUGGCUG
This 322-nucleotide ribosomal RNA is filed under the name uncultured Lentisphaerota bacterium. RNAcentral's name for it is "bacterial SSU rRNA". It matches the Rfam family "Bacterial small subunit ribosomal RNA", at positions 29 to 351 of the family's 1533-position model. The record is from RNAcentral. Lineage: Bacteria; Pseudomonadati; Lentisphaerota.